GGCCCCAUCGUCUAGCCCGGCCUAGGACACCAGGUUUUCAUCCUGGCGACAGGGGUUCGAAUCCCCUUGGGGUCACCA
This 78-nucleotide transfer RNA is filed under the name Planctomycetota bacterium. Its description in RNAcentral is "Planctomycetes bacterium (groundwater metagenome) tRNA-Glu". It matches the Rfam family "tRNA". From Rfam's summary of the family: Transfer RNA (tRNA) molecules are approximately 80 nucleotides in length. Their secondary structure includes four short double-helical elements and three loops (D, anti-codon, and T loops). The record is from RNAcentral. Lineage: Bacteria; Pseudomonadati; Planctomycetota. RNAcentral also lists the same sequence under 1 other name.